GGUUUGAGUCGACUCAAAAAACCCAAAGACUCGAAACAGCUGAACUAAUUCCAGUACAGAACCUAACAGGAUGUUGCGCAUGCGCGACUGAACGAAUCACUCCCCAAGAUGACUCGUUCUUCCUGAGACGACAUUCCCGACAUUUUGGAAGUUCAAAAUCGGGUGCACAAUUGAAGUCCAUUAUAUGAAGAAAAAUCGUGAAAUGUUUUCCUCAAAAACCAUUAUUUCUUUACGACUGAAGACAGAAAGACAUGAACAUCUUGGAUGACAAGGGGGCAUUCGAGCGGGGAAGAGGGCAGUUUGUGCUCACCUGGUGAAGUCUGUCAUCUCCAUCAUGAUCAUGCACAUUUGCUUGGCCAAAACGAUGAUGUCAUUUCCGCUGUCA
Labeo rohita (rohu) is the source of this 385-nucleotide long non-coding RNA. RefSeq lists it as uncharacterized. Lineage: Eukaryota; Metazoa; Chordata; Actinopteri; Cypriniformes; Cyprinidae. The record is from RefSeq and is a predicted model, not a curated record. The transcript is spliced from 2 exons.